CCUACGGGAGGCAGCAGUGGGGAAUUUUGGACAAUGGACGCAAGUCUGAUCCAGCCAUGCCGCGUGCGGGAAGAAGGCCUUCGGGUUGUAAACCGCUUUUGUCAGGGAAGAAACGGCUCUGGUUAAUACCUGGGGCUAAUGACGGUACCUGAAGAAUAAGCACCGGCUAACUACGUGCCAGCAGCCGCGGUAAUACGUAGGGUGCAAGCGUUAAUCGGAAUUACUGGGCGUAAAGCGUGCGCAGGCGGUUAUGCAAGACAGAUGUGAAAUCCCCGGGCUCAACCUGGGAACUGCAUUUGUGACUGCAUAGCUAGAGUACGGUAGAGGGGGAUGGAAUUCCGCGUGUAGCAGUGAAAUGCGUAGAUAUGCGGAGGAACACCGAUGGCGAAGGCAAUCCCCUGGACCUGUACUGACGCUCAUGCACGAACGACGUGGGAGGACGAACAAGGAGUAGUAUACCGUACGGUAGUACCGACCGACCCGUAACCGAACUAGUACAACUAGGUUGGUUGGGUAGGGUUUCGUUUC
RNAcentral lists this ribosomal RNA (528 nucleotides) under uncultured bacterium. RNAcentral's name for it is "bacterial SSU rRNA". It matches the Rfam family "Bacterial small subunit ribosomal RNA", at positions 338 to 800 of the family's 1533-position model. The record is from RNAcentral.